This is a non-coding RNA of Parastagonospora nodorum SN15, 67 nucleotides long. The record is from the annotation of a RefSeq genome assembly. NCBI's taxonomy places the organism in Eukaryota, Fungi, Ascomycota, Dothideomycetes, Pleosporales, Phaeosphaeriaceae.
GGCCUAAUGGCCCAAUGGCAAGGCGCUUGACUACGAAUCAAGAGAUUCCAGGUUGUAAGUAGUGUCC